RNAcentral lists this ribosomal RNA (433 nucleotides) under uncultured bacterium. RNAcentral's name for it is "partial 16S ribosomal RNA". It matches the Rfam family "Bacterial small subunit ribosomal RNA", at positions 29 to 507 of the family's 1533-position model. The record is from RNAcentral.
AGCGAACGCUGGCGGCAGGCCUAACACAUGCAAGUCGAACGAACUCUUCGGAGUUAGUGGCGGACGGGUGAGUAACACGUGGGAACGUGCCUUUUGGUUCGGAAUAACUCAGGGAAACUUGUGCUAAUACCGAAUGUGCCCUUCGGGGGAAAGAUUUAUCGCCAUUAGAGCGGCCCGCGUCUGAUUAGCUAGUUGGUGAGGUAACGGCUCACCAACGCGACGAUCAGUAGCUGGUCUGAGAGGAUGACCAGCCACACUGGGACUGAGACACGGCCCAGACUCCUACGGGAGGCAGCAGUGGGGAAUCUUGCGCAAUGGGCGAAAGCCUGACGCAGCCAUGCCGCGUGAAUGAUGAAGGUCUUAGGAUUGUAAAAUUCUUUCACCGGGGACGAUAAUGACGGUACCCGGAGAAGAAGCCCCGGCUAACUUCGUG